This 1131-nucleotide ribosomal RNA is filed under the name Burkholderia cepacia. Its description in RNAcentral is "bacterial SSU rRNA". It matches the Rfam family "Bacterial small subunit ribosomal RNA", at positions 34 to 1174 of the family's 1533-position model. The record is from RNAcentral. Lineage: Bacteria; Pseudomonadati; Pseudomonadota; Betaproteobacteria; Burkholderiales; Burkholderiaceae.
GGCCUGCGGCUGCCUUACACAUGCAGUCGAACGGCAGCACGGGUGCUUGCACCUGGUGGCGAGUGGCGAACGGGUGAGUAAUACAUCGGAACAUGUCCUGUAGUGGGGGAUAGCCCGGCGAAAGCCGGAUUAAUACCGCAUACGAUCUUUGGAUGAAAGCGGGGGACCUUCGGGCCUCGCGCUAUAGGGUUGGCCGAUGGCUGAUUAGCUAGUUGGUGGGGUAAAGGCCUACCAAGGCGACGAUCAGUAGCUGGUCUGAGAGGACGACCAGCCACACUGGGACUGAGACACGGCCCAAACUCCUACGGGAGGCAGCAGUGGGGAAUUUUGGACAAUGGGCGAAAGCCUGAUCCAGCAAUGCCGCGUGUGUGAAGAAGGCCUUCGGGUUGUAAAGCACUUUUGUCCGGAAAGAAAUCCUUGGUUCUAAUAUAGCCGGGGGAUGACGGUACCGGAAGAAUAAGCACCGGCUAACUACGUGCCAGCAGCCGCGGUAAUACGUAGGGUGCGAGCGUUAAUCGGAAUUACUGGGCGUAAAGCGUGCGCAGGCGGUUUGCUAAGACCGAUGUGAAAUCCCCGGGCUCAACCUGGGAACUGCAUUGGUGACUGGCAGGCUAGAGUAUGGCAGAGGGGGGUAGAAUUCCACGUGUAGCAGUGAAAUGCGUAGAGAUGUGGAGGAAUACCGAUGGCGAAGGCAGCCCCCUGGGCCAAUACUGACGCUCAUGCACGAAAGCGUGGGGAGCAAACAGGAUUAGAUACCCUGGUAGUCCACGCCCUAAACGAUGUCAACUAGUUGUUGGGGAUUCAUUUCCUUAGUAACGUAGCUAACGCGUGAAGUUGACCGCCUGGGGAGUACGGUCGCAAGAUUAAAACUCAAAGGAAUUGACGGGGACCCGCACAAGCGGUGGAUGAUGUGGAUUAAUUCGAUGCAACGCGAAAAACCUUACCUACCCUUGACAUGGUCGGAAUCCUGCUGAGAGGCGGGAGUGCUCGAAAGAGACCGAUACACAGUGCUGCAUGGCUGUCGUCAGCUCUGUCGUGAGAUGUUGGGUUAAGUCCGCAACGAGCGCACCCUUGUCAUAGUUGCUACGCAUGAGCACUCUAAGAGACUGCCGGUGACAAACCCGAGAAGGU